UACGGAGGGUGCAAACGUUGCUCGGAAUCAUUGGGCGUAAAGGGCUCGUAGGCGGUUUGUCGCGUCGGGAGUGAAAACUCAGGGCUUAACCCUGAGCCUGCUUCCGAUACGGGCAGACUAGAGGUAUGCAGGGGAGAACGGAAUUCCUGGUGUAGCGGUGAAAUGCGCAGAUAUCAGGAGGAACACCGGUGGCGAAGGCGGUUCUCUGGGCAUUACCUGACGCUGAGGAGCGAAAGUGUGGGGAGCGAACAGG
This 253-nucleotide ribosomal RNA is filed under the name uncultured bacterium. RNAcentral describes it as "partial 16S ribosomal RNA". It matches the Rfam family "Bacterial small subunit ribosomal RNA", at positions 524 to 776 of the family's 1533-position model. The record is from RNAcentral.